GAAUGGCGAAAAUGUAAAAUACAACGAAAUUCCCGAUUAGUUAAUUAUGUUUGCACAAAAUUUAGUGCUACAGAUGUAACGCCUGAUACACAGAAGAAGAUAAAGUUAAACAUUUCGAUGUUUCGUCAAAAUUUUCGAAAAAAUGGACUGAAACAAAUAUGAUGAUUGAACGUUUUUUAAACAAAAAUGGCAGUUGGUUAGAAGGAGCAGAUUUACAAUUUUACCUACAAAUGGAACAUCCCUGCCCUACCUCAUCAACUGGAAGCAAUCGACCUGAAGGUAGACCAAAAAAAAAUUUUGAAGAGUCGUCUUUUAAAACGAAAAAACCAAGGGUCGAAGACUUACUACAAUCGCGAAGUGCCAUCGAGUUCACAGGAGCCGCGGAAGUAGCAAAUCGCUUUGAGGGUAAUAGAAGCAUAGCUACUUCGAUUAAAGUUUGAAAUCUACAGAAAAAAGAAGUAUGGUAAUACCACAUGCGAAGGCAGGCAAUUGGCAAGUGAUGAGGCAUUAGCUUAUUAUGUGGAUUCUAAGUGCACAAGUUACUCCUGUAAACAGACGCGUAAAUGGUCAUUGAAGGCGGGACAUAAAGUUUUUCUAUCCUAUUUUAGUUUACGUAAGUCUAAAAAUUUGUGUUACCCUGCAGAUGAGCAUAUCUUGGUAACAGAAACGCGCGCCGAAAUUAUACUUCAACGCAUUUUGGAUAAAACCGCUAAACGUUUAAUUGAAGCGCAAUGUGAAGUUUUUAAAGCAAAUAUAUCUUCUAAGUCGUCAUUCACACUAAUCAGCAAAUGGGGAUGUGACGGAAGCUCCGGCCAUAGCGCUUAUAAACAGAAAUUUGAGAACUGCGAUGCUACUGAUGAGUAUAUGUUUGUUUUUGCUAUUGUCCCAUUGAGAUUGAGUGACGAUGCCAGCCAAAAUAUUUUAUGGCAAAAUCCGCGGCCUUCGUCCACACUCUAUUGUCGCCCAAUUAAGCUUAUUUUUUAUAAAGGAAACAACUGAUUUUACUAUAUCAGAAACUAACAAGGUUUUGGAAGAAGUAUCUCAAUUUCUUCCAACACUUUGUGAUAAUCGCGGUUCUCAAAUUUUGGUAAAACGUAAUAUAGAUUUACUACAUAUGCUUUUAAUAACAUCCGAUCCGGUAAUCAACUAACUCAGAGAAGUUCCUAGAAAGAGAACAGAUAAAUUACCGGAGGAAGUUCUAAAUUUAAUUGUCCCGCCUUCAAUACCAUCAAAAGUACCACGUCAGGUAACAUGUGACCAUGACGAUAAAGAUUAUCUAGUAUCUGAUUCAGAUGAAUCUAACAGUGAUGAUGAGUCAUUCAAUGAGUAAUGAUAUAGUAUAUAAUAUUAAACAUUUUGUUGUUGUGUGUUAUUGUUAUUUUUAUAUUACUGUUAUUAUAAGGUCUGUUGGUAAAAAUUCCCUUACUAAUCAUCGCGUUUUUCAAUAGUUGUAAUGUAAUGGACUUAUGUAUUAGUACGUAUUUUAUACAUCCAAGUAAAUGUUAUUGUAUGUUUUGAAAUUUAAAAAAAUAAUUAAAUAUAUUUCUUACACAAUUUUUUGUUUUCUAUUCGUAAAUCUAAAAAAAAAUAUAUUAAUUUUUCAAUGAAACUUAAAAUCAUUAAUCAACACGACCAAAACAAUUAAAUUUCAAACUAAAAUAUUUUUGUCCCCCUAGCUUGUAUUAAACGACACACUGUGCAGCCGGGGGAUGCAGAGGAAGAGGAAGAUCUCACCUCCGUUGGAAGGAGCAAGUAUGGAAGGACCUGGCUUCGCUUGGAAUAUUCAAUUGGCGACACGUAGCGAAAAGAAAAAACGACUGGUGCGGUGUUGUUAUUGCAGCUAACGGGUGAUUUUUUUGAGGUUAGGAUUUUCAUGCAUUAGUAUUUGACAGAUCACGUGGGAUUUCAGACAUGGUGUCAAAGAGAAAGAUGCUCAGUAUGCUUUGACAUUUCAUCAUGAAUAGACUUACUAACGAGCAACGCUUGCAAAUCAUUGAAUUUUAUUACCAAAAUCAGUGUUCGGUUCGAAAUGUGUUUCGCGCUUUAUUUUGUUCAGCGAUGAGGCUCAUUUCUGGUUGAAUGGCUACGUAAAUAAGCAAAAUUGCCGCAUUUGGGGUGAAGAGCAACCAGAAGCCGUUCAAGAACUGCCCAUGCAUCCCGAAAAAUGCACUGUUUGGUGUGGUUUGUACGCUGGUGGAAUCAUUGGACCGUAUUUUUUCAAAGAUGCUGUUGGACGCAACGUUACGGUGAAUGGCGAUCGCUAUCGUUCGAUGCUAACAAACUUUUUGUUGCCAAAAAUGGAAGAACUGAACUUGGUUGACAUGUGCUCGCGAUUCUAUGGCCAUUUUGAGGGAAAACUUCGGACAACAAUUCAUCUCAAGAAAUGGACCCGUAAGUUGGCCACCAAGAUCAUGCGAUUUAACGCCUUUAGACUAUUUUUUGUGGGGCUACGUCAAGUCUAAAGUCUACAGAAAUAAGCCAGCAACUAUUCCAGCUUUGGAAGACAACAUUUCCGAAGAAAUUCGGGCUAUUCCGGCCGAAAUGCUCGAAAAAGUUGCCCAAAAUUGGACUUUCCGAAUGGACCACCUAAGACGCAGCCGCGGUCAACAUUUAAAUGAAAUUAUCUUCAAAAAGUAAAUGUCAUGAACCAAUCUAACGUUUCAAAUAAAGAACCGAUGAGAUUUUGCAAAUUUUAUGCGUUUUUUUUUUAAAAAAAGUUAUCAAGCUCUUAAAAAAUCACCCUUUAUAAUCGCGUAAGCGGUGUCUACGCCGAAGAAGAAUAUUUAAAAGGUGGAAAUUAAAGAAAUCUAAUGAAUGAUUAAUUUUUUAGUAAAUUUAACCGUGGAUAACUUGGUGGAUAGCUUUUGCUUCUAAAGUACAAAAAAGCAAGGAAUCAAGCGAAUUUUUUUAUAUGGCUUAUCACCGAAAUUAAAAAAAAAAUGGAACAAUAGUAAAAUCUGAAACAUUAAAACGAUUCUAUUCUAGGUAGGUAGGAGUGCAGCCCUGUUGUUGCUCGGGCUCAACUAGCACUGGCUCUGUCAUUUUGUUGCACUAUUCGUAGACAUUUUAUAUUUGCUACCACAUUUUUAUAUUUGCUUGCACCUUCACUUUCAAACCAUUUUGAAGUUUCGAUGAAGCUACUUAUGUCCGAUAAGCUUUUGGACAUAAUGGCCAGUGCCCUGUUAUGGUAGCUGUUACUCUGUAGAUACUUUUCAUAGACCUAUUUAACUCUGGCUCACCAAUGUUAGUCGUUUCGUCGUUUUUUUUUUUUAUCUAUCGUCCUCUGAUUUAAUAUUGUGACAGUUGAUUCAGUUGCAAAGCUACUGCCGAUGAACACAGUCACGUUGUGUGGAUUAGCUGAAGGGUAUGUAUGUGUUUGUAAAAGUAAGGUAGUCGUUAAACUUAGAUGUGUACAAAACCACAUAUGCGUAUUGAGUAAUGGCAACAUUGUUCGAAUGAAAACGAGAACAAAACGCUUGCCGCUCGUGGCGAAGUGAGAAGAUGUUUCUGCCAUUAGCGUUUGUAUUCUAUUUGUGUGCUUAGCCACUCUCAAUCAAUAAUGCCAUACCGCGCAAAUAUUGUAUAUUUUUAUUUGAUGAUUUCUUAUAUUUUUGAAAAUAUGUGUUCCCUUUCUAUAGCGCAUAUUAUUAUUUUAAUACAUUUCCAGAGGCAACUUAGAUUUUUAAAAUUUAACAAAACAAUUACAUAUAGAAAAAAACCUCAAUUCUUUGAAUAUUUUGAUAAAACAACCAAACUGAAACUAUCACAAAUCAUAUAUUUAUAUAAGCAUUUUCAUUAAAUGGAACUGCAAUAUGUUUAAACACAAUAUGUAAAUAUAACGGUCACAAGUAUCUUCUUUUUUAUAUAUGCAGAUAUGCAUAUGUACGUAUAAAAGCCCACAACUUGAGAAAAGUUUGCCCAAUUGUAUCUAAAAUGAAUUUUUACAACUGGCAUCACCACCAUUAACUGAUCUAUCACAUGUACAGUGGUGUGAACAAAAUAGGAACAAAUAUAGGUGUUGUGAAGUUUUAAAAUGUGCUGUUUUCUUAUUAAAUAAAAUUGUUUUUAGAUACAAGUAUAACUUAUAUAUUUUUUCCUAACAGUGAUUAGAAUUUCCCACCAUGCAAAAGUAAAUAAAAACAAAUUUUAAUGCGAACCUCUAAACCCUGCAAAUUAUGUUUACCUCUUUUUGUUCACACAAGUGUACAAUUCCGAUAUGAAGUAAACUUCCGCUCUUUAAUUUGUGUACAAUGUCAGUAUUGCCGCAACCACUCUGCGAUGAACAUUAAGUUACGGAGGAAUGUAAUUGAUUUUUUUCGCAACUUUUCGCAACUUGUU
Bactrocera dorsalis (oriental fruit fly) is the source of this 4338-nucleotide long non-coding RNA. RefSeq lists it as uncharacterized. The transcript has 3 exons. The record is from RefSeq and is a predicted model, not a curated record. NCBI's taxonomy places the organism in Eukaryota, Metazoa, Arthropoda, Insecta, Diptera, Tephritidae.